RNAcentral lists this transfer RNA (50 nucleotides) under Parasaissetia nigra. Its description in RNAcentral is "tRNA-Glu". Lineage: Eukaryota; Metazoa; Arthropoda; Insecta; Hemiptera; Coccidae. The record is from RNAcentral.
AAAUUUUAAGUUUAAAACAUUAUAUUUUCAAUAUAAAAAAAAAAAAUUUA